ACUUUCUGUUAUGUCAGGAAGACCAUCUGCUUCCAGACUGCGGUUAACCGCGAGAGACUAAAACCUCAGAAAGCAAAACCAUGGAUAAGGAGGGACUACUGUAUAGGCAGAGAAGCGACACAUGACAACAGACAAUGUUCUUCACCUCAGCAUGAUUUUCAUAACAGAUGCACGGAUGGAUUUCCCUUCUUGUAAAACUGCAGCUCAGGGAAAGCAAGUCUAUGAGCGACUUAAAUAUAAUUCACAGAGGUUGAAGGAUAAAGUUAAGAGGAGAUAAAUGAUAUGGCCUGGAAGAGGCAUACACUACUAUGAGACAGAUGCCACCCCCAUUGGCGGUUGUGUAUCACUUCCUGAAUACAUCAUUCUGAUGCAGUACUUGGAAACAGGCUUCAAGGCUGCAAAUCAUAGACUGAGGGACAAAUAGUGCUUCUCUUUGAGGUAAAAAAUACAAUAUAUGUAUAUAUGG
Molecule: long non-coding RNA, 466 nt
Organism: Herpailurus yagouaroundi (jaguarundi)
Lineage: Eukaryota; Metazoa; Chordata; Mammalia; Carnivora; Felidae
Exons: 2
Source: RefSeq, a predicted model, not a curated record